CGCAUCUCAGACGCUUUCUAUCUGGCGAUUGAGAAACUGACAGGCCCAAUGAGCUCUCCAAUCGUGCCUCGAAAUGAGGCCGGAGAGCCGGUAACCUGAGAUCGGCCUAAGAUAUCGAGAUAGAAAGUUAGAUUGAUUGUUAAGUGAUGGAAUAUUGAAUCUCAGACCUCUCCCUGGAACAGAACAGAAAUCUCGGAAAGUAUUACGUGCUCUCUCCUCUAUCUAAGUAAGAGAAAGAGGAAGGUCCAAUCAUGCUACUUUGAGAAAGAUGCUUAACACAUGCAAGUCGAUCAGUUCGCCCUUAAGAAAUAGGCAACAUCGGUUCGAAUCCGAUAAAGAAAGGGCUUUUUCCUUUUUUUCGGUAUGCCGCUCCGCCAGCAAGGAGUGCCACGGACGAGCGGAGCAAAUUAGAAAAAAAUAAAAAAUAAAAAAGGCAACGCUAUGGCAAUUACUAGAACUAAGGUUCAUUGUUCGAAAGAUUCCGAAUGGAUUCGUCGUCAUUCUUUAGCUGUAGCUAUCUUUUUUUCAAUGCUUGCAGUCUUCUAUUGUCUAUUUCUCAUGCUGGAUUCAAUUGACGUAUUUAAAACUAUGUUUCAUAAGCUUGCUUUAUCAGUCGGCAAUCAAGCCUUCUCGAGGCUCUUGCUUAAGAGUGGCUGCUCCGUUGGUCUGACCUUGGCCAGAUGUUUGGAUUCGUUGUCAGAAUGGCCUUCCUCGCUACCGAGGACACGACUUUGAUGAGCAAGAAUAUGAUGGAUAACCACCUUGGCUGGACAUCGAUCUUCGGAACCAGCUCUGGCGGAAACUCGGUGGGCUCGUCCGAUUCCGAAGCGAGCGUAAAUCAACCGGCGCCCGACUCCCCGGAGCCGGAGUUGCCCCUGAGGUUGAUCAGCCAGAUGGAGGUGGGCCCCUCAUUCCUGAGCUUCCCAAUCACUUAAUUCCCAUUGAGGAGCGUCUGAGGGAGUUGGGCCAUCGCCUCUCAACCAAUUCUCUUUGCAAAAACUAGACCCCCCAGGAAUGGGGCAGCAUCAUAGCUGCGCAGGCAGUUGUAGAAGAAAGGAUCGAAGCCGCUUUAGUUCGCGAUGGCUUUAAUGCCCAAGCAGCCAUUUUGGCCAAAGGCCACCAGGUAAGGGGCUUUUUGUUCUAUUCAGAGGGAACUAGUUUCACCGAACAAACUUACCUAAAUUCUGUAAAAAGUAUAGACAGCCAUGGUACUCGCGCCUGUGUUCCAUACAAGCGAGUCAUCCAAGCGAUACGGCAACAUAAUUUAUCCCUUUAAGGGGCUCGCAGAAUACUUCAGUGCAGUAGGACAGAUAAGUUAGCGGUAGGGGUCUUUCCUCUCCGUUACCUUGUUGGGUCAACCAAUUGCAUUACUUCUUUCGGAAGCUUAUUUAUGUAUUUAUGUGGGAUUCUUUCUGAAAAAGCAUUCUAGUUGUGCUUUACCUUUCUCCGCUCUCCCCGGAUGUGAGAAAGAUUCUUCCUAUGAAUCUCGACCAAGACCAGCCCUUUCUCCUAUAGACCUUCAGAUGAGAGAGAGCACUUCUUCGGGCGGAUAGGAGGUUAGUUCUGGUUCAAAAGAGGACGACAAGGAUUUUCGUCGAAAGAGAUGAGCGAACUUCAUCAGGCUAGCUGGCUGGAGACGAAACCGAAUCAGACAGGAAAGGAGUCUCGGGUGGCGGAUCCCGGGUUAGCCUCGUAUUAGCGGAAUGAUAGCCCGAGGAAGAUCGCAACCGCCUGUGCAACAGCAACAGCGUCAAGCUUGGCAUGAUAGGCAGUUACGUCAGAAAGCAAUUGGAAAAGGCUGCUUAACAAAUUUGACUUAGCGCCUGGAAAGCUUCAAACCAAGUGGUUAGAACCAUACAGGACACAUAAUGGCGCAGUUCGGUUAUGACGAUUUACAGGGUAAUUUUCUUUAUUUAGAUAGGGGCACCAGUGAAUCCUUUAAAGGUAUUGGACUAAAACAGAUAAUCCGGUACGAGUAAUUACUACUGAUUUCAGUCAUAAAUCCAUAGUAGAUCCAGAUGACCCGAUAGACUGUCCACACGACAAGUGUCCGUUUAUCGUUACGGUUUCCUUAGAAAGUGGAAAAGGAAGACCAAAAGAAGCAAUACAAGAGAAAGAAAGGGAAAUAUGGAUCUCUGUUCGGGUCUCUCCUUCAUUUCAUGGCAUGGCUCCGAAAUGGGGUCUGCGGGCCGGCAACCUGAUCGACCUAAGAUCUACUUUCAAAGAGAACGAACGCAACUACAUUUAUUAAUUAAGGCUUCUCUCUUCAGAGGUAGAUAGUUGAUCGAGGAGAAGGCAGGUGCCUAGCCACGAGUAAGCCUAAAGGUAAAGGAUUUCGCGAAGCCGGUUAACAAUCACUUUUAUUCUCAGGCUAAGAUCUUCACUACCUUUUUGGCAGAGCUGCCAAGCUUCCUAUUCGUAUUCGUACAGUUAAGAAAGCAGAAAAGCAUUCGAACUUGAAACGAGAGAUGGGAAAGAAAGCUUACCUUAAAAGAGCGGCCACGCCAAGACCUUACUUAAUAGGAUGAUGCUUGAACUUUAUUCUAAAAAAAGGGGGAGUACCCGAGGGAAUAAGCCAAGGCAAGUGCCAUAGAUUUAGCUGUUGUCGGAAGUGGCAAGUAGUUUUUUAAGGAAAGGGGAGGAGUGCCGGUUAAAUGGUUUAGGUUAGGAGUGCCAGCUCAAGGCGAUAGGCAUAGUGGAAAAAGGCUACGCACCUGAAUCUGUUCACACGAAUUGCUCAAGGUUGGAGGAAAAAGCACUUGUUUAAUCUAAUCUCCUGUCGAAAUGGUAGAUGGGAUCGAUCCCAGACUCGGUGAAAGGCGAGAAAGACCAGGCAAGCUCCAUUGGCUUGGUUAAAUACCUUCACGCUCUUUAGUUCAUCUCGGUAGAACAAGGAAAAAAAAGCCUAUGUAGUGGAUUCGAGUCCCACAAGAGCGAAGGAUGACGACUGAUUCCAUUGCCCUCUCUACUCAAUGGAUUGAAUAUAGUUGCGUAAAGCAGCAUAAGCGCUAACCUGAUCUAAGGAAAGAGGGGGAACGUGAAAGCAAGGCUAUUCCGGGGCGUCAAGCGUCUGUAGGCUUAUCAGCCAUGAAGUAAGCAUAAGCGGGAAUAGGCUAAAAGGACGGUUAGAAGGCAUCUGGAGGACCAGUUUUCGGCUGGUCAUAACAAUAACUAACUCUUAGGUAUUUUAUUUUAUAGGGGGAUGAGACUCCUGGUUCAACCAAUCAAUCUCUGAAGUGCAGGUGCUUUGAUGGAGAGGGGGUUACUACUCGACUAAUAAGUGUUGGAUUGGAGGGGAACUUCUUUAUCUUCCCCAACCGGGAAAGUCAUGCUAGGGGAAGAAGUAGCUACGGUAAACUCGAAACUCUCUUUCUUCUUUCACUCAUAGCUAUCUGACUGUGAGGAUUCCCCCUUGUAUUCCCCAUAGGCUAGGAAAAUUUAGAGGCUCCACUACAAGUCUUGGAGCUAGGCAGCUCAGUAUGGUAUGAGGAUCGAAGGGCAUAAAUCGAAGCUAACAAUGGGGACUAGUUGUUGAAUUCCUUUAGUAGGAAUGACUAGCUCCGACCUUAAGGAAUAGGUCCGAAGAUGCGACUAGAACUGAAAGAAGAGGAAGGUUUUUCCUGGGUAGGACGGAGGGUAUUCGACCGAAGCCUUAAAAGUUUCCACACCUGAGGGUGCAUCAACCUCUUUUCUUUCAUCACAAGAAAGGUUUGUUUGGAGGGGACAAGCGAGGCUAAAGGGUUAGGGGAGGAGUGGAAGAGAGACUUUCCCUUAGAUAGGAGAGCUCGCCUAAGCAGUGUUGGAGCGAAGGCUGCUCGACUAGACUAAUUGGGAAAAAGGAGGGGGGACACAGCUACCUUUAGGGUAGGGAGACAUAGCUACUUUUUGAAUAAAUUCUCGAAGUGACAAGGAAUGGUAUCGACAGAGUGGAAGGGCCUGUGCUCAAUAAACCACUCACCCACGCUAGGGCUAAGACUGAAAGUCGCUCUUCUGAUUCAUCCUGUCUUUCAAGGAGAGGAGUUUAAGGAGCUAGUAUAGGUUCGAAGAGUUGCUGCGAGUAACUUAACUUCAUCAAGCCAGGAAAGAAGCUCGACAAAGCCUGUGCGGGGGUAGGGGCGGAGAGGAAAGCUUCUGAUAAUAUACUUUUGAGGUGGCAUCAAUACCAGAGAAGAGAGUAGGAAUCCCCUCUUAUGUAAUUUCCCUCCUUCCGAUUCCGAUUCCGAGUCCGAGAAAAAGUCUUCGGUGGGGAAGACUCCUGCCUGGAGGCAUUAAGGUUUGUUUAGUUUUAGUUUAGGCUGCUAAAGACUGACUUGCCCCAACAGCCGUAGCUAAAGGCUUAACCCAUUGUUGAGUACCCAGAUUCUUCAACCCCGACCUCAAGAGAAUCCGGGGAAAGCUCCAUAUCAAAAUAAGCUUGACCGGUAGCGGUAGGGGUUUGGGAUAUCUUCUUAGUUUGGGGCUAAGGCCUGUAGCUAUCGGAG
Molecule: small RNA, 4481 nt
Filed under: Lupinus albus (white lupine)
Lineage: Eukaryota; Viridiplantae; Streptophyta; Magnoliopsida; Fabales; Fabaceae
Description: hypothetical ncRNA
Source: RNAcentral